UGCUUAACACAUGCAAGUCGAACGAUGAAGCCUAGCUUGCUAGGUGGAUUAGUGGCGCACGGGUGAGUAAUAUAUAGAUAACGUGCCUCUUAGUCUGGGAUAGCCAUUGGAAACGAUGAUUAAUACUAGAUACUCCUUCUCAUUCUAAUAUGAGUCGGGAAAGUUUUUCGCUAAGAGAUCGGUCUAUAUCCCAUCAGUUAGUUGGUAAGGUAACGGCUUACCAAGGCAAUGACGGGUAGCGGGUUUGAGAGGAUGAUCCGCCACACUGGUACUGAGACACGGACCAGACUCCUACGGGAGGCAGCAGUGAGGAAUAUUGCACAAUGGGGGAAACCCUGAUGCAGCAACGCCGCGUGGAGGAUGACGCAUUUCGGUGUGUAAACUCCUUUUACGAGUCAAGAAAAUGACGGUAGCUCGUGAAUAAGCACCGGCUAACUCCGUGCCAGCAGCCGCGGUAAUACGGAGGGUGCAAGCGUUACUCGGAAUCACUGGGCGUAAAGGACACGUAGGCGGGAUGCCAAGUCUGAUGUGAAAUCCUAUGGCUUAACCAUAGAACUGCAUUGGAAACUGGUAACCUAGAGUAUGGGAGGGGGAGAUGGAAUUAGUGGUGUA
RNAcentral lists this ribosomal RNA (612 nucleotides) under uncultured bacterium. Its description in RNAcentral is "bacterial SSU rRNA". It matches the Rfam family "Bacterial small subunit ribosomal RNA", at positions 45 to 677 of the family's 1533-position model. The record is from RNAcentral.